UACGGAGGAUGCGAGCGUUGUUCGGAAUUACUGGGCGUAAAGGGCGCGUAGGCGGCCUGAUAAGUCGGGGGUGAAAGCCUGUGGCUCAACCACAGAAUUGCCUUCGAUACUGUUAGGCUUGAGACCGGAAGAGGUAAGUGGAACUGCGAGUGUAGAGGUGAAAUUCGUAGAUAUUCGCAGGAACACCAGUGGCGAAGGCGGCUUACUGGUCCGGUUCUGACGCUGAGGCACGAAAGCCAAGGGAGCAAACAGG
Molecule: ribosomal RNA, 253 nt
Filed under: uncultured bacterium
Lineage: Bacteria
Description: partial 16S ribosomal RNA
Rfam family: Bacterial small subunit ribosomal RNA
Source: RNAcentral